GGGAGUCGACACGGGAGUCCCGGGAUCGGGGACUGAGAGUGGGCACGCCGCGCCCUUACCGUCGCACCUGAUCCGGGUCAUGCCGGCGAAGGGAGGGGACAUGAAGGGAUC
RNAcentral lists this non-coding RNA (111 nucleotides) under Mycolicibacterium rhodesiae. RNAcentral's name for it is "Mycobacterium rhodesiae TPP sequence". It matches the Rfam family "TPP riboswitch aptamer (THI element)". Rfam says of the family: Vitamin B(1) in its active form thiamin pyrophosphate (TPP) is an essential coenzyme that is synthesised by coupling of pyrimidine and thiazole moieties in bacteria. The previously detected thiamin-regulatory element, thi box was extended, resulting in a new, highly conserved RNA secondary structure, the THI element, which is widely distributed in eubacteria and also occurs in some archaea. Lineage: Bacteria; Bacillati; Actinomycetota; Actinomycetes; Mycobacteriales; Mycobacteriaceae. The record is from RNAcentral. RNAcentral also lists the same sequence under 1 other name.